CAAGUAGAACGCUGAAGAGAGGAGCUUGCUCUUCUUGGAUGAGUUGCGAACGGGUGAGUAACGCGUAGGUAACCUGCCUGGUAGCGGGGGAUAACUAUUGGAAACGAUAGCUAAUACCGCAUAAAAUGGAUUAUCGCAUGAUAAUGCAUUGAAAGGUGCAAAUGCAUCACUACCAGAUGGACCUGCGUUGUAUUAGCUAGUUGGUGGGGUAACGGCUCACCAAGGCGACGAUACAUAGCCGACCUGAGAGGGUGAUCGGCCACACUGGGACUGAGACACGGCCCAGACUCCUACGGGAGGCAGCAGUAGGGAAUCUUCGGCAAUGGACGGAAGUCUGACCGAGCAACGCCGCGUGAGUGAAGAAGGUUUUCGGAUCGUAAAGCUCUGUUGUAAGAGAAGAACGAGUGUGAGAGUGGAAAGUUCACACUGUGACGGUAUCUUACCAGAAAGGGACGGCUAACUACGUGCCAGCAGCCGCGGUAAUACGUAGGUCCCGAGCGUUGUCCGGAUUUAUUGGGCGUAAAGCGAGCGCAGGCGGUUAGAUAAGUCUGAAGUUAAAGGCUGUGGCUUAACCAUAGUACGCUUUGGAAACUGUUUAACUUGAGUGCAAGAGGGGAGAGUGGAAUUCCAUGUGUAGCGGUGAAAUGCGUAGAUAUAUGGAGGACACCGGUGGCGAAA
RNAcentral lists this ribosomal RNA (678 nucleotides) under uncultured Bacilli bacterium. RNAcentral describes it as "bacterial SSU rRNA". It matches the Rfam family "Bacterial small subunit ribosomal RNA", at positions 58 to 720 of the family's 1533-position model. Lineage: Bacteria; Bacillati; Bacillota; Bacilli. The record is from RNAcentral.